CAGUAGCCGCGGUAAUACGUAGGGUGCAAGCGUUAAUCGGAAUUACUGGGCGUAAAGCGUGCGCAGGCGGUUAUAUAAGUCAGAUGUGAAAUCCCCGGGCUCAACCUGGGAACUGCAUUUGAGGCUGUAUGGCUAGAGUGUGUCAGAGGGGGGUAGAAUUCCACGUGUAGCAGUGAAAUGCGUAGAUAUGUGGAGGAAUACCGAUGGCGAAGGCAGCCCCCUGGGAUAAUACUGACGCUCAUGCACGAAAGCGUGGGGAGCAAACAGGAUUAGAUACCCGUGUAGUCCCUGUCUCUUAUAC
RNAcentral lists this ribosomal RNA (301 nucleotides) under uncultured bacterium. Its description in RNAcentral is "partial 16S ribosomal RNA". It matches the Rfam family "Bacterial small subunit ribosomal RNA", at positions 509 to 807 of the family's 1533-position model. The record is from RNAcentral.